GGUUGGGUAGCUCAGUUGGUUAGAGCACUGCGCCGGGAUUGCAGAGGCCCAGGUUCAAGCCCUGGCCUGGCCG
Molecule: non-coding RNA, 73 nt
Organism: Marasmius fiardii PR-910
Lineage: Eukaryota; Fungi; Basidiomycota; Agaricomycetes; Agaricales; Marasmiaceae
Source: the annotation of a GenBank genome assembly